CUCAAGAACUCGCUCCAGUUGCAUAUAUUUCUAUAUACAAAAGAAUAUGUAUUGUUUUACAAAGUUUCUAUUUACUGUGCAAAGCAAUAAAGCUUAAAAUUCAAAUUUCACACGAAAAAAGAGAAGAGGAGUAAAAUUUCGCAUGUAGAUCAACUGUUAAAAAUGAAUCAAAAGAAAUGUUAAUGAGAGAUGGGACAAGCGAAAUACACCGGAUAUUCCAAUGUCUUUCCCUCUCUCUUUCUCCCUAACUCUGUAAACUUCAGCAGUCGAAAAAAAAGACUGGAAGUUCAUUAAACCCCAACCAGCCCAACUCAAACGGAGCGUGAUGAAUGUUUGGGCAACAACAGUGUUACUGACCUCACAUUACAUGCAGCGAAAAAAAAACAACUAAAAACGUGCAGGUUCAUCAA
This is a long non-coding RNA of Drosophila hydei, 410 nucleotides long. RefSeq lists it as uncharacterized. NCBI's taxonomy places the organism in Eukaryota, Metazoa, Arthropoda, Insecta, Diptera, Drosophilidae. The transcript has 2 exons. The record is from RefSeq and is a predicted model, not a curated record.